This 28671-nucleotide long non-coding RNA is filed under the name Capsicum annuum. RNAcentral's name for it is "long non-coding RNA (CANN_LNC007615)". Lineage: Eukaryota; Viridiplantae; Streptophyta; Magnoliopsida; Solanales; Solanaceae. The record is from RNAcentral.
CCAAAUGGCAAAAGUUGAAAAUCAUGUCCACGAAGAUCAAUGUUGCUACCAACAAAUCUUUCUGGUACAAACUUCUCGGGUUCUGGCCAAACUUCUGGAUCUCUACCGAUUGCCCAAGUAUUUACUAGAACUCUUGAACCUUUAGGUAUAUCAAAGCCAUCAAUUGUGCAAUCUUCAAUGGAUUCAUGAGGAAGCAAUGGUACAAUAGGGUGAAGCCUAAAACCUUCUUUAAUGACCAUGUCUAAGUACUCUAAUUUUUCCAAGUCUGAUUCUUCCACCAUUCUAUUUAAGCCAACAACUUCGUUCAACUCAUUUUGUAAUUUCUUCAUUACUUUUGGGUGCCUUAUAAGUUCAGAGAAAAUCCAGUCAAUUAUUGUUGAUGAGGUGUCUGUUGAAGCUAUUAGCAUGUCCUGCAUAGAGAAUAUAAGUUAUGUUAGUGAAAUUCUUCUUACACUUCAGUGAAUAUAAGUUAUACUAAACUAAAAUAGAGCCAAAAAGUAAAUGAAUAAUCACACUAUCAAGUUAAUUAUCUAAAGAUGUCUACGGGACCUGCUGGUAAAAAUCUUCAUAUACCAUCAGUAAAUAUCAGUUAAACUAUACUAAAAUGAACUUGAAAAUUUAUUCAUGUCAUGAUGAACAAAAUAUUACCAGCAUAAUAGCUUUGACAUUGCGACGAUCAAACUCAAACUCAGCUUCGCCAGAUUGCAUGAUAUUCAUCAUAGUAUCAACAAUAUCCUUUGUUUGCUUAUCCUCUUUGGAAUCUUGUACAUGUUCAUAAAUAACUUUCUCAAGAAAAUCAUCAAAUAUCUUUGCCAAUUCCUUCAUACGAUGAGUUAGACCUUGCAAAUCAAACACAUCAAGAAAUGGAAUAAAUUCACCCAUAUCUGGUGUUGCUGUUAAAAUCACAGUCUCUUCAAUCACAUCUUUAAAACCCCUUUCAUCAAAUUCAUCAUCCAUGUAUUUUUUCCCAAAUACCAUUAAACAAGUCAUGUUGGCAUUUAAUGAAGCAAGUUUAGCACUAAUAUCAACUUCAACACCACUGGAAGCUGCCCUAUUGAUAAAAGUCACAAAAUUUGCAACUUCUUGUUUUCUCAUGGCUUGAAAUGAAUUGAUCUUGACAGUACUAAGUAAUUCUAACGUGCAUAAUUUUCUCAUAUUUCGCCAAUAAGGUCCAUAUUUUGCAAACAACAGAUUUCUCUGAUUGUACGCGAUGUAUUGAGCAGUUUUAUUAUCUGGUCGACUCGCAAAAAUUACAUCAUGGUUUUUCAAGAAUUGUUCAGCAGCAUGAGGAGAUGAAGCAACAAUUAUAGGAACAACACCAAAUCUCAUGCUCAUUAUGGGACCAUAUCUUUUAGCUAUUUUAUGAAGAUCUUGGUGGACAUUUUUGCCAAUCAUAUGAAGAUUUCCUAUAAUUGGUAGCCCUUUUGGGCCGGGGGGAAGUUUUUUCUUUUCUUUCAUGAAUUUAUUGCGUAGUUCUUGAACAAUGUAUAGCACUACAAGUAGUGCAAGAACUUGUAAGAAUAUUGAAGCCAUGAAUAUAUGUAAAUUAUUGUUUUUUUGGCUUCCUAACUUGCGAUUAUUUAUAAGGAAGUCAUGUGGCAAGUGAAUUUUACGGGCUCUUUUGUUGAUUAAUUUUUGGCAUCCAUUUUCCAAUUAUAUUCAACCAAAAAAUAUUCCCCUCUUCUAUUCAAAAAUGGCUGCUACUUCCCUUUACCCUUAGUCAUUAAAACUAAAUUGACUGUGGGACAAUAACUGAUUGAAGCUAAUAGAACAAGAAAAACAAAAUUAAAAAGGCAUUUAAAGUUGGAAUUCAAAUUGAGUACAUAUUUCGUUUCAAAUUCUGAUUAAAAUUUAGUACAAAGGUUCUUAUUUAAGCUAAGACAUUCCUUAACAAGUUUGGUUUAAGCAUUAGAAAGAAAUUCUUAAGGAAUUAUGUAACAAAACUAACAUAGUUAUUACAAUGUUUGGUAGCCUUAUAGUUGCUUUUUAGUAUUAUUAUAUUUGAUUAUCAUUUUACAAUCCUAUAUAAAUGAUACAGAUAAUUAUUAUGAGUCAACUUAGGUAUUAUUCUAUAUGAAGGGAAAACGAAAUAACAAUACAGAAAUUAAUAAUACAUGCAUAAAAUGAAUAUACUAAUAAUAUUAAAUGACAAAUUUAUCCUCUUAUCACCCCCACACUUAUAGGAGAUUAGACAGAUGUUGUGGACUUCGUGGGUAUUUGGCUUAGCUUUUACGUUGGUCAAAAUAAUUUAUAAGUUAUUUUUUGCUUAAAAAAGUGUUUGAUAAAUUUAUAAGUGCUUAAAAGAAGUUAAUUUUGGCUUUUUUUAAGCCAAAAAUAAGAAGCUAGCAUUUCUAGCUUUUUUUGGGAAGAGUAUAAGCUAUUAGAAUUGACCAAGUAAAUUACAUUUGUAUCCCUCAUAAUUAUUCCUUAUUCCAACUUUACCCUUGUACGCUAAUUCUCCUUCACUAAUACUCAAUACACUUCACUGCACACUUUUAUUUGUUGUUGGAGCAAAGUUGAAUUUUGCUUUGUUGUUCUUCUCCGUUGAAUAGUCAUACCAUAAUUGUAUAAUGAGUUUAUUUAUUUUUUUACAGCAAAAAUGAAAAGAGGUGAUAUUGUUGUUUGUAGAUCUGGGUACUCUUUAAAAAAAAGUUAUAUAUUAAAGUACUAAAAAUUUUAUUUAAAUUAAUUAGAAAAUGAAGUGUCGUCACAAAUUGCAUCUUAAUGAUACGAAAUUUUAACAUAACCAUGAAGAAACAAAUAAUCUUUUAAUAAAUAACUAUCUUUUUCAAACACAAACAUUUAAUACUUAAACUCUUAAAAAAAAUAGUUUUUUAGCAAAUAAAUUAAUAUAUAUAUAUAUAUAUAUAUAUAUAUAUAUGAUAAAGUACUAAAAAAGUUUAUUUAAAUUAAUAAGAAAAUGAAGUGCUGUCACAAAUUGCACCUUAAUGAUACGAAAUUUUAACAUAACCAUGAAGAAAUAAAUAAUCUUUUUAUAUAUAACUAUCUUUUUCAAACACAAACAUUCAAUACUUAAACUCUUACAAAAAUAAUUUUUUAGCUCACAAAUUAAUAAGCAUUCAUGAAAAUAUUAUAUAUAAAUAUAUAUAUAUAUAUAUAUAUAUAUAUAUAUACGUAUAUAUUAAUUUUAAUUUGAAUCAUUUUAGCAAUAAAAAUUAAUAAUAAUCAACCCUAUAUAUUACUAACAACUAUAAGGGUAUUUCAGACAUUUCGACAAAAAAGUGCUUAAAAACAUUAUUUACCAAACACAUCAAUAACUUUUUUUCAGUUUUAACAUUUUUAUCCAAAUACUUAACUGCUUAUUUUUAAAAUAAGUUCAGCACUUUCAAAAUCAUUUUUAAAGAACUUUUUUUCAGCUUAUCUAAACGGACUCUUUCAAAAUCAUUUUUAAAGAACUUUUUUUCAGCAUAUCUAAAUGGACUCUUUGUAGUGAUGCUAGACAAUUUUAUUGAUUUUAAUAAAAAAAACAAGACAAGCGUCGAAUUGUCAAUGGCACAGACGUGUCAUUAAUAAGGCCAAAAACUUCAUGGGAAAAAUCAUGGUUUUGAUGCAGUAGGGAUCACAGAAGAUUGUCCGUACGGGUAUAGUUGGAAAGGGAGUCUUGAAGUAAUUGGUAAAAUUACUGUCAUAUGAUCAAGACUAGGGAUGACGAAAGAGGGUCCGGAUAUAGUUGAAAGGGGAGUUUUAGAGUAAUUGAUAAAGUUAUUUUCAUGUGAUCAGAAGGUCACAGGUUGAAGUCAGAAAAUUGCCUUUUGUAGAAAUUCAAGGUAACGUUGGCUAGUGACGUACACAGAAUUAUCAAUAAGCGCCCCCUUAUAUGUAUAAGAAAAUGGAUAAAAACUUAACAGUCAUUUAAGUAUAGUCGUCUUUUAAGCUAAAAGUGGUCUUGAUUCAUUCCAAUAAAUAGUGUUAUUAUGUAUAAUAUAUGAAAGUUGAAAUCAAGUUAAAGGCACAUUUAUGUAGGUUGAUUUACAGCCACACGUUGAGUUUUAUUGAUUCAUUAAUAUCAAUUAAUUUAACUAUAGUUUGUCUAUCAUUACUUGCUAUUGCUCCUUUGUCACAAUUUUUCUAGAAGAGGUACACUUUUUGUCCACCUCCAUUGGGCUAAACACAUACAUCUAUCGACCUAGUAGUAUUGCCUAUCCAUUCCAUUGAAUGUUUUCUAAUUUUUGUUUUAUUUUCAGUUGAUCAAAAGUUUUGAAAAAUAAUUUUUUCUACGAAAAUAAGUUUCUUGAAAAUGAGAAAAGUAUCUUCUUAUUAAAGUACAAAAAACAAGUUACUCAAGUUCUUCCUACUCUUUAAUACACCUUAUUUUCACCUCCACCCCCGUCCCCACCACUGCCCCACAACCUAGCCCGUAUCCUUCACCUCUUAGAGUAUUUGUUUAGAUUAUAUAUAAUUUCUUUUAUGAUACGCAAUAUUUUUUUCUUAUAUAUCGAACACACAAAAAUAAUAAGAUCACUUAUUUUUUCAAAAAAUAUUUUCCUUCAUAACGGACACACCCUAACACAUUUAACAAAGGGAGUAAAUGUAAUGACUCUCUAGGUUAUUUUCUUGAUUUACGCACAUUUUUGGUGUUUCAACCCUUCCCACAGUGUCUAGCCGGCUAUAGGUCAGUAAUGAUUUGCCGGAGAACUAUUGGUGCGGUCAUUGGGCAGUCAUUUAAGUUUUAGGCUCAUUUUACUAUUUUGGAACUAUCAUCAUUAAGAAAUUGAUCUUGUACCAAAACUUCUAUUAGAAGACCUCGGAUGAGAAUUCCGACAACUCCAUCAGCUAUGGAACAUUGAUUUUGGGCUAGGGCGAUCAUGGGUUCAGGUCCCAAGGCGUGCAGACUCGUUUUGGCUAUUGGUUGGAUUUUAUGAAAAAUGAGACUAUAUGUAGUCAAAAAUAAUCUCGAAUGAAAGUUUCGAUGGUUUCAUUAAGAGUUAAAUGCCGAAUUUGGUAUGGUAGCGUAGUUCGUUUACGUGCACGGAGUUCCGAAAGAAUCCGAAGUACACGGUUGGAGUCCAUUUUGGACUUAGAAAAUCUGUUGCAUCAAAUUGCUAGUGCAACUGCUUAAACGGUUCUUUUACUGCUUAAGAGGUAUUUGCUUUAGUGACAUUGGGUCGAUUUAGCGGCUUUGGCUACUAGGCCGAAGAUCGCUUAAGAGAUCAAUGUCCUCUUUAGCGGACAUCGCUUUAGCGGCGCCGCAUCUCCGUACAAAUGAAAUAAUUUCUAAUGAAACUAUAGGUGUGGGGCCUCUAUGUAGUCAAAAGUAAUCUCAAAUGAAAGUUUCAGUGAUUUCAUUAAGAUUGAAAUAUUGAAUUUGGUAUGAUAGCAUAGUUCAUUUGCGCGCACGAAAUUUCGAACGAAUUCCAAGCACAUGGUUGGAGUCCAUUUUGGACUUAAGAAAUUUAUUACCUCAGGUUGCUGGUACAACCGCUUAAGCAAUUUUCUUAAUGCUUAAGAGGUAUUUGCCUUAGCAACACAGGAUCGCUUUAGCAGUCUUGGCUACUUCGCUGAGGACCGCUUAAGCGAUCAAUGUCUGCGUUAGCGAACACCAUUUUAGCGGUGAAGGUAACAUUUUAGCGAUGCCCGCAUCUCCGUACCCGACCGCUUUAGUAGCAGUCGCUUAAGCGACUACGUGACCGCUUUAGCGGCAUCUAGGGAUUGAUAAUUCUCCUUUCUUCAUCCAAUUUUUUCCUCAUUUUCUCCACCAUUUUCAACCACUUUAGGAGCAUGGGACCUGAGGAAGUGCGGGAAAUCAUCCAUUGAAGCUAAGGUAAGAAAGGCUAACACUCCGUCAUCAUUUUUUAUUAUUUUUUCAUCAAAUCUCAUCCUAUUUCAUUGUAAAUUAAAAUUCUUGAAAAGUAGGUCUUUAAAUCCUUGGACGUUAGGGGUCGAUUGGAACCCCAAUUUGCGUCCCAUUUGUGCUCAACUUUUGAGCAUACAUUCCUUGUCCUUCAAAGGACCUUGUGAUGGAUUUAAUUUUGGAUUAUGCUUACGGGCUCAGCAGGCACGUUCUUGAUCUGAAUUUUGAAUCGAUCUUUUAUAUAGUAAUAUGGGUUUUGUUUUGAUCCUAUUGACGUGUAGAAUAUUAUUUAGAUAGCAUAUCAGCAUUUUGAGAUCAUAGAGAAAAGACGAGCGAUUUAUGGAUGACUUAAGAUUUGUGGUUCGGCAUCGAGGUAGGCUUCAGUCUACUUUUCUUCAUAAGAUGAUGUGCAGUGUAGAUUGCAUGCUAGGUGGGUAUGAUAGGACAUGUUUAUGAUUUCAUAUCAUGACUUUUCCUAAUUUAGGAGUUUGGGGAUAGAAGGGAGAAACAACCCUUAAGAUGGAAUACUUGCUAUAAUUCCAGAAUCCUAUCACUAUAGAUCAUAAGAAGUUUUUGGAGACUUUCGGUGGAUGUUAGCUCAUGAUUCGGGGGUAGCUCCAGGGCCCGAGCUCGAUUUUGGACCUAAAUCGCCUGGCGGGUUGUAGAAUGGAUCUAGUUGUUUUGAUGGGGCCGGUGGAUCUAUUUUUCAAGUCAAACGAGUAAAAUAGUACGAGUAGAACAUUUUAGCUACUUUCGGUGGGUGUUAUCCCAUGAAAUUCAAGAGGGGAAGGGUGAAUUGAAAUUUUUCUAUGAGUAGACUAUUGACUCAGCACAGUCGACUCACCUGUAAAACAGUGCACUUCACAAAGUAGAUUAGAUUUUAAAAAUAUUAAACACAUAAACAACAGAACGUAAAGUAAUAACACAAAGAUCUAUCCUGAUUCGGAACACCAAUGUGGUGUCUACUUCCAAUCCCCUUGGGUUUCAAAGUUUUCUUAGACCGUUCAGUGUCGGGCUCAAGUACGAUAAUAGGAAACAAGUUCUAAAGACUUAUUUUUCUCUUCAGAUCUUGUGACACAACUUCAGUUGAUGUUACAAAGUUAACUCGAUCCUACUCUUUAUAUAACAAUUAUAAGCUAAAAGUUACAAAGCCUUGUGAGAAUAAAUUGAGACACUUUGAUUUUUCUCCUGAAGUUGUGUAACCCGUGUAUGUCCUUAGUCUUCAUCUUUUAUAGUCUUCGGCUGCUACUCUUCAUAAAAAAACCAAAGAGAUUUAUUCUCAAUCAAGGAUUUGAAUUGAUUUCUUGAUUGAGGUAUGUAGCCAUGUGUUAUGUCCAUAUACGGCUUUAGAUCACGUUCAUAUCAGAUAUGUCCAUGAUCUAUCUUUCCUUUUGGUCUUGUAUAGAUUAAUGCUUUUCAAAUAUUCUUGUGAUGUUUUCUACUUUUAUUUUAGUCAUUGUUGAUCUGAUUUGUCGAGACUUUGGGGCCAAAGAUUCUUCAUGGAUGGUUUGAUUUAUCGAGACUUAUAAAAUUGAGAUUUUUCUUUCGUUUGCUCUCAUUUUGAUUGAUUUUCUUUGAUGCCGCGAAUUAUGAGUUGGUGUCCUUCCAUUCUCAGAGCAUGACGAUUUGAUUUACCGAGACAUAUGAUAUUGAGAUUCUCCUGCAAAGAUCUACUUGUUAGUUUGUCAUUAUUAAAACAUAGUCUUCGGAGUCUAACAAUCUCCCCCUUUUUGAUAAUGACAAACAAGAUUAAACAUCAGUUGACUUUCCUAUCUGUCAGCUUGCUACACCUGACUUGUUUGCUCACCCUGACUGGUAGGCUACUAGGAUGUUUCUACUUUCUCCCCCUUUGACAUAAUUAAAAAGAAACAACACACAAGCAACUUGCAGACAAAGAAAUCCACACAUAGAAAUUCACAUAGAAAAAAGAGCUUAAAGAUCAUUAACGCUAAGAAUACCAAGUCUUCUUCUAGGGGAAUAAAAUCUUUCUUCUAGUAGGGGUUUUGUGAAAAUGUAUGCUAGUUAAUUUUCAGAGUCAAUAAAUUUUAGAGUAAAAUCACCAUUUUUUAUAUGAUCUUGAAUAAAAUGAUGCUUAAUGUCAAUAUGUUUAGCCCUAGAAUGAUGCACAAUAUACUUAAAUAAGCUAAUAGCACUUGUGCUAUCACACAUAAUAGGAGCAAAUUCAAAAGAUAAGUCAAAAUCAAGACGUUUAUGCACAAUCCAUAAGAUUUGAGUGCCACAACUUCUGACAGCUAUGUAUUCAGCUUCAAUGGUUGAGAGAGCAACUAAAGUUUGCUUCUUGCUAUGCCAUGAGAUAAGGGCAUCACCAAGAAUCAGACAUAUUCCAUUAGUGCUUAUUCUAUCAUUUUUAUCUCCUGCAAAAUUAGCAUCUGAACAACCAACUAGAUCAAAAUGUGAGGAGCAGGGAUACCAUAGACCAAAGUCUUGAGUUUCUAUAAGGUCUCGGAUGAAUCGUUUGCCAUCAGUUAGAUGAGAAUCCUUGGAAGUCGACUGGAAACUAGCAUAUUUACACACACUAAACAUAAUGUCUGGUCGACUUGCAGUCAGGUAGAGUAAAGAUCUGAUUCCUCUGUACAUUUUUUCAUCAAUGUCUUUUCUAGAUAAGUCUAAAUCAAUGCUUGUGGAUGGGCUCAUAGGUGUUCCAUGUGCCUUCCCUUUUUCCAUACCGAACUUUUUGGUGAGUUUUUUCGUGUACUUGGCUUGUCUGAUGAAAGUGCCUUAAAGAGUUUGUUUGAUUUGUAAUCCCAUAAAGAAUAUGACUCACCCAUAAGACUCAUUUCGAAUUCUCCUUUCAUCAAAUUAGCAAAAUUCUCGCACAUAGAGAUGUUAGAACUACCAAAAAUUAUAUCAUCAAUGUAAAUUUGCACAAUGAGAAGAUUUGAAUCAAAUUUUUAUAUGAACAAAGUUGUAUCAAUUUUACCCCUUUGAAAAUUGUUGUUUAUUAAAAAAGUACUCAAUCUCUCAUACCAAGCUUUUGGAGUUUGUUUGAGGCCGUAAAGUGCUUUGAUAAUUUGAAAACAUGAUUUGGAUAUGAUGAAUCUUUAAAUCCGGGGGGUUGUUUUACAAAAACUUACUCAUGAAUAUAGCUAUUUAAGAAAGCACUUUUUAUGUCCAUUUGAUAUAACUUAAAAAUAUUUGAACGCGACAAACGCUAAUAGAAUACAUAUUGACUCUAACCUUGCUACAGGGAAAAAGGUUUCGUCAUAAUCAAUACCUUCCUGUUGGGAGUAGCCUUGAGCUAUAAGUUUGGCUUUGUUUAUGAUGAAUUUACCUUCCUCAUCUAAUUUAUUUCUGUAGACCCAUCUGGUUCCAAUUACUGAGUAAUUUUUGGGUCUUUCAACUAGAGUCUAAACUUGUUUUCAUUCAAACUGAUCCAGUUCUUCCUUCAUAGAUUCAACCCAUAAUUCAUCUUUGAGUGCCUCAUCAGUUUUCUUGGAUUCAACUUGAGAAGCAAAGGCAACAACUGCAUGUCUCCUCAAUAAUGCUCUUGUUUGCACUCUAUCCUCUGGAUUUUCAAUGAUGAGUUCGUUUAGAUGAGUACCAUUGUGCUUCCAUUCUUUUGAAAUAUUUGGCUUUACAUCUUCUUCUUUAAUAGUCUGCUCUUAGGAAGGGGUUAUGGACUUGUCUUGAGAUGGCUCAGGAUUUGAGCUGUUACUUUCCUUGGAUUGAAGAUUACCCAUCGGUUCUUUAUCAUCACUCAAACUCGUAGAGAAGUGAUUAGAUUCAUCAAUUACAGAAUGCAUUAAUUCCUCAACACACAAAGUUCUUUUAUUAAAGUCCCUAUAGGCACGAUUUGUAGGAGAGUUCCUAAGAAAUAUACCUUCAUCACUUUGAGGAUCAAAUUUUCUCAAGCUAUUCUUACCAUUAUUGUGAAUAAAGCAUUUGCAGCCGAAUGGAUGGAAAUAACUUAUGUUGGGCUUCUUUCCUCUCCAGAGUUCAUAGGGUGUUUUCUUUAGAAUAGAUCGGAUUAGGCACCUAUUAAUAAUGUGACGUGCGGUGCUUACUGCUUCUGCGCAAAACUAAUCUAGGAGAUUAUGUUCUAACAAUAUUGUCCUAGCAGUUUUCUGGAAAGACCAAUUCUUCAGCUUCACUAAACCAUUUUGCUAAGGGGUUCGAGGUGAAGAAAAGUUCUGAGAGUAUCCAUUCUGAGUACAAAACUCUUCAAAUGCCUUAUUUUCAAAUUCUCCUCCAUGAUCACUAUGAACAUAAGUGAUGAGAUGUCCAACUUCUCUCUGUACCUUUCUAUAAAAAAUCUCAAAAUUUGUUUAAGGCUCAUGUUUAUGAGUAAGGAACAUUACCCAAGUAAAACAUGAGUAAUCAUCAACUAUGACAAAAACAUAUUUCUUUCCACUAAGGCUUGUGGUUUUGGUGGGACCAAAUAGAUCCAUAUGGAUUGUUUGAAGUGGUUUGGUAGUGGAGACGAUGUCUUUGACUUUGAAUGAUGUCUAGGUCUGCUUCCCUAAUUGACAAGCAUCACAUAUGUGAUCCUUCUGAAACUUGAGUUUUGGUAGACCUUUCACCGAUUCAAGUCUGGACAACUUCUCAAUGACAUGCAUGCUAGCAUGCCCGAACUUUCUAUGCCAUAAAAAAGUAUUAUUGGAUUGAAUAGUGAGGCAAGUUAAUGUGGUAAAAUCAGGACUAUCUAAAAUAUAAGUGUUUUCAACAUAUUCACCGAUGAGAGAGAUGUUUCUUUUUUCGUGCUUAAUUGAGCAAUUUUUGGCUUUGAAGAGUACUUCAAAUCCGGCAUCACAGAGCUGACUGAUGCUAAGAAUAUUGUGUUUAAGGCCGUCUACUAGAUAUACUUCCAUGAAAUCUCAUGAUGAGAUGAGUUUUACUGGGGAAACUCCGAUAAUGUUGCCUCUAGUAUUGUCACCAAACUUUACUAAACCCCUAUUUAUUUUCUCUAGAGCAGAAAUUUUUUUUUCUUUCCGAUCAUGUGUCUGGAACAUCCUCUAUCAAUGAACCACAUUUCUUUCUUAUAGCUCUUGCAGACUUCUUUUUGCAGCACAAAAAGAUCAAUUUUAUUUAGGUACCCAAGUGGUCUUGGGUUAUUGUGGGUUAGAUGUGUUUCCUUUAGGCCACCAAACUCAUACACUUUUAGGCGUAUGCCUGCAGCUGUACUAUUUGUGCCCUCACUAUCCACAUGUAAAAUAGACAGGUCCUCGAGAAGAAAAGGAGAUGUUAGCUGAUUUAAACGAUUCUGAUGAGGGACUAAAUUUGUUUUGAAACGAGUUGGAUUUUACAAAACCGUGACUUGGAGUUUUCUUGAUAUUGUUUAGUUUUAUUUUCACAUCAUCAAUCUCUUUAUGAAUCAAGUCAAUUUUAAUUUGACAUACUUCGAUUUCUAUUUGAUGACUUCUUAGUUCCUACUCUAGUUUUCGUUUAAAUCAUGCUUCACAACCUUUCUUCUCUUGAGCAAUCUUAUUAUAUUCAUCUAUAAAUUUUUUAAGCUCGCCGUCUAUCAUACAUAAAUUAGAUUCAAGGGUAUUACAGUUUUGAUAGUUGUGAGAUCUUACCUCGCUAGGUUCACCUGUUGCCAUGAAGCACAUAUUGGCUGCUUCUACUUAUUCUUCAGUUUCAUCUCUAUCACUCCAGAAUUCAAAGUUAUGAUUCUUUCUAGAUGGUCUUUGUCUUAACUCUGGAUAGUUUUGUUUGAAGUAGACGGGACUUCCACAAUGAUAAUAACGAUCAUCAUUUCUAGUGGGGUCAUUAUGUUUGGUUCCUUGGGAUAUUUGUUGUCUCUGUCUCAUGAUCUAUCUUACUCCCACUGAUUGAUGAGGGCCAUCCCUUCGCUAUUAGUAUCUUUCAGAGUGUCCACUUCUUUGGUUGGGGCAGCAUUAAAGGCCACUGGUUUCUUCUUCUCCUUUUGGUACCUAUUAAUAUAAUUUUUUUCUUAAGCGAUAAGGUUACCUCAUAGUUCGUCAUAUAUCAUAUUGUGAAGAUCUCCGUCUUCCAGAAUGGCAACUUUGGUUUCCCAAAUCUUUGGGAAACUUUGGACCAACUUCUGGACUUGCAGGCUGUAUGGAUAGAUCAUGCCUAGUGAUUUCAGUUCACAUACAAUCUUACUGAAUUUGGCAAACAUUGUUUCAAUGUCCUCAUUCUUUUUCAUUUUGAACAGCUCGUAUUCAUUGACCAGGGCAGUAACUUUUGACUUCUUGACUUUGGUGGUUCCUUCAUAGGUUACCUCCGAUUUGUCCUAUAUUUUUUUUGUGGUUUCACAAGUUGAUAUCUUGUAAUAUUCUUCCCCGCUAACUGCACACAAAAGUAAACUUAUAGCAUGUGCAUUAGUUUGAAUUACCUCUUGCUUUUCUUUGGUGACCUCAAAUUUUUCAAGGUUUUUUAUGUCAGAACUGCUAGAUUCUUUGUCUUUGUCCUUUGAUUUUUCUUCAAGUCCUGGAAUCGAUUUUAGACUCUUCUUGAUGACAACCCAGUCUUGGAAAUCAUUUGAUAGGAUAAAGAUUCUGAACCUAUUCUUCCAGUAAGAGUAAUGUUGUCUGUUAAAGUAUGGUGGUCUUGUGGAGAAAUGACCAUCCUUAAGAAGAGCACCGGGAAUGUGAUAAUUUUCCAGUUAAUCUUUGCUCACUUGCGGUUAUGCAAUGCUGUUGGUGAGACUGGCUCUGAUACUAAUUGAAAUUCAAGAGGGAGGUAAAUCAAAUUUUUCUGUGAGUCAACUACUGACUCCGUACGGUCGACUCGCCUGCAGAAAAAUGCACUUCACAAAGAAGAUUAGAUUUUAAAAAGAUUAAGCAAAUAAAUAACAGAAUAUAAAGUAAUAACACAAAUAUUUAUCCUAGUUUGGAACACCAAUGUGGAACCUACUUCCAGUCCCCUUGGGUUUCAAAGUUUCCUUAGAUCUUUCAAUGUCGGGCUUGAGUACAAUGAUAGGAAACAAGUUUUAAUGACUUAUUUUGCUCUUCAGAUCUUAUGCCACAGCUUCAGUUGAUGUUACAAAAUUAACUCGAUUCUACUCUUUAUAUAACAAUUGUAAGCUAAAAGUUACAAAGCCUUGUGAGACUAAGAUUGAGACACUUUGAUUUUUCUCCUCAAAGUUUCAUAACCCAUGUUUGUCCUAAGUCUUCAUCUUUUAUAGUCUUCGGGUGCUACUCGUCAUAAGGAUAUCCAAAAUAUUUAUUCUCAAUAAAGAAUUUGAAUUGAUUCCUUGAUUGAGGUAUGUAGCCGUGUGAUAUGUCUAUAUACGGCUUUGGAUCACGUCCAUAUCAGAUAUGUCUGUGAGCUAUCUUUUCUUUUAGUCUUAUAAAGAUUGAUGCUUUCCAAAUAUGUUUGUGAUCUUUUCUUCUUUUACUUUAGUUAUUAUUGAUUAGAUUUGUUGAGACUUUUUGGCCAGAGAUUCUUCAUGACUGGUUUGAUUUACCGAGACUUAUAGGAUUGAGAUUUUCAUUUUGUUUUCUCUCAUUCUGAUUGAUUUUCUUUGAUGUCGCGGAUCAUAAGUUGGUAUCCUUCCAUUCUUGGAGCAUGACUGAUUUGAUUUACUGAGUCAUAUGGGAUUAAGAUUCUCCCCUGCAGAGAUCUACUUGUUAGUUUUCAUUAUUAAAACAUAGUCUUCGGAGGCUAACAACCCACAAUUCGAGGAAUGAGCCUAGUGCUCGGGCCGACAAAAAUUGCCCUGUUAUCUGUCGAUGAAAAGUUGAGUGGAUCUAGGUGGUUCGGCAUUACCAAUGAAAAUAUUUUCCAAGUCAAACAGGUGAAACAACCCGAACCACCCCUUUUUGGCUAAUCUCGAUAGGUGUUAGCCCUUAGUUCAGGGGGUGAGCCCACGGAUCAGACCUGAUUUAAGGCAAAAAUUAUCGGGCGAUUGCCCGAUGGGCUAUUGAGUGAAUCUAGGUGGUUCAACGAGAUUGGUGGAGUCAUUUUCCUAGUCAAAUAGGCAAAACAGGGUACACCGUCCUUUUUUGGCGACUUUUUGUGGGUGUUACCCUACAUUUUGGGAGGUGGGAUCGGGUCUCCAACCUUAUUUUGGCAAAAAUUGUCUGGUAGCCCCCGAGUGGAUCUGGGUGGUUCAGUUGGGCCGGUGGAGCCAUAUUUCAAGUGAAACGGUUGAAACAGCAUGAACCAGCUAUUUUUAUUGAGACAGCUCAAAUGACAAAUAUCCAAAAGAUACUGCAGAAAUAUUGAAAGUGAGAACUAGAAUAGACUGAAGAAGGGGAUAAGAAGCUAGACUCAAAUGAAAGUUAGAUGAAAGAUAUAUAGGUUUUGCUUAGGCAUAACCAUACUAUACAUAGCCUACUCUACGCACUUUCCAACCCUUAUGACAAACAAUAUUUCACCUUGUCUAGUGACUCUAUGACAUGUGUCUCUCAGUCAAGGUCCCAAUGAUGGUCCAAAACUUAUCAUUUGGGCCCAUAUAAUCCCCAUGUUUUGUUGCAAGAAUAUUCUUAAAAUUGGAAGUGCUUAGUAAGAAGUCUAUUGCUUCAAGUUGGCUUUGAUGAGCAGCAAUAUGCAAAGAAGCCCGUUCUUGAGAAGUUGACAUGACUUGAGCCUUCCUUAGUGAAACAAAAAACUGUAGAAUUUUGAAUGUAUACCAAUGUGUAGAUCGAUUUACGAGUUAAUCCCUCACCCGGUAUUUAUUAUAUUCAUGUUUAGAUCAAUAACUAAUUUGAUUAUCAGUGACGAAAUUAGAAAUUUCACUAAGGAUGUUCAUGAAUUAAUAUAUAUGUAUAAGACGAUUUGUGACCAAUGUGCUUAGCUUCCUAUAAUUUGAAGUCAUAUCUUCUACCAAGAAAUUUAUUGAGGAAGUAGAAGCUCUUUUGAAAGAAGCUAUUAAGAAACAAACGGACCAUUUUAUAGUUGAGGAACAAACAUAAAGAAAUAUUGGUCACUUGUCUCUUAAUCAUAGUAGAAAAGAAAUUAAGCAUCUUAGAUUCAAAUAUUCAAACAUUCAAACAGUCCUUCUCUUAAUGGUGGCCACCUCCACCGUACGUGGCUACGCCACUCACUAGAGUAGUUGGACUAGUCCUAAAUUUAGACUCCUCUGAGGCAAUCCAAAGUAAGAAAUUCAUAUGUUCUUUUAUGUAAAUGGGUCAGACUUGCAUCUGGGCCAACCGAAGCUGCCAGUUAGUACCCCAAACAAACUCAUGUCACAUAAGUCAUCCCUUCAGACUGGAUUCCUUUAAAAAAAAAUUAAAAAUUUAGAGUAUAGUUUUUUGAAUUGAAACAUUAAACAGUGAUAAUACAUCACUAUGUCAAUACACCUUGUAACAUGAUUAUUAUGUAUAAAUAUUAUAUAAUGUUUAUAAAGAUUGAAUAAUAUAGUUACUAGGCAUUGAAGAACAUUCACAUACACAAGACACACAGCGCACGGUCCUCUAUUCCCCGAGUUUAGCCCAUUUUAAUCCCAUCAAAUCGACUAAGCCAUAAUCAUUUUUGGUUGGAUCUGGCUUAACUCAGCGCUAUUCAACCUGUUCAUUUGAUAUCCCUAAUAUAUUUUCCAACCGAUGAGUAGGAAUAGCCCUUAGGUGUUGAGCUCUAGCCAUCACUAAACCAAAUUUCUCAGUCAUGUCUAAAUCAUUUGGCUUCAUAUCAUUUGGUAGUUCCCAAUCAAAACAAUGAACCAAUUGCGCUAGCACCAGACGAACGAUUGUGAGCCCUAAUUGCAAACCAAGGCAACUUCUUCUCCCAGAACCAAAUGGUAAAAGUUGAAAAUCACGUCCACGAAGAUCGAUAUUGCUACCAACAAACCGUUCUGGCAUGAAUUUCUCGGGUUCUGGCCAAAUUUCUGGAUCUCUUCCAAUUGCCCAAGUAUUUACUAGAAUUCUUGUACCUUUAGGUAUAUCAAAGCCAUCAAUUGUGCAAUCUUCAAUGGACUCAUGAGGAACCAAUAAUGGUGCAAUAGGGUGAAUCCUAAAACCUUCUUUAAUGACCAUGUCUAAGUACACUAAUUUUUCCAAGUCUGAUUCUUCCACCAUUCUGUUCAUGCCAACAACUUCGUUCAACUCAUUUUGUAAUUUCUUCAUUACUUUUGGGUGUCUUAUAAGUUCAGAGAAAAUCCAGUCAAUUGCUGUUGAUGAGGUGUCCAUUGAAGCUAUUAGCAAGUCCUGCAUAAUAAGAUUUCUAAUCAUAAAUAUAAGACAAAAUUGCCUGCUAUAAUAGGUAACAUGACUUAUGUUAGUGAAAUUUUUCUUACACUUCAGCGAAUAUAAGUUAUACUCAAUUAAAUAUAUAGACCCAUAGAGUAAAUGAAUAAUUACACUAUCAAGUUAUCCAAAGAUGUCAACAUGACCUGCUAGUGAAAGUCAUGAUAUACCAUCAGUAAAUAUCAGUUAAACUGUACUAAAAUGGCGAGCAAAAUAUUACCAGCAUAAUAGCUUUGACAUUGCGACGAUCAAACUCAAACUCAGCUUUUCCAGAUUGCAUGAUAUUCAUCAUAGUAUCUACGAUAUCCUUUGUUUGCUUCUCCUCUUUGGAAUCAUGAACAUGUUCAUCAAUAACUCUCUCAAAAAAAUCAUCAAAAAUCUUUGCCAAUUUCUUCAUACGACGAGUUAGUCCUUGCAAAUCAAACACGUCAAGAAAUGGAAUAAAUUCACCUAUAUUUGGUGUUGCUGCUAGAAUCAAAGUCUCUUGAAUCACAUCUUUAAAACCCCUUUCAUCAAAUUCAUCAUCCACGUAUUUUUUCCCAAAUACCAUUAAACAAGCCAUGUUGGCAUUUAGUGAAGCAAGUUUAGCACUAACAUCAACUUCAACACCAUUAGAAGCUGCCUGAUUGAUAAAAGUCACAAAAUUUGUAACUUCUUGUUUUCUCAUAGCUUGAAAUGAAUUAAUCUUGAGAGUACUGAGCAAUUCUAAUGUACACAAUUUUCGUAUAUUUCGCCAAUAAGGUCCGUAUUUACCAAACGUGAUAUUUCUCUGAUUGUACGCGAUGAAUUGAGCAGCUUUAUUAUCUGGACGACUCGCAAAAACAAGAUCAUGGUUUUUCAAGAAUUGUUCAGCAGCAUGAGGAGAUGAAGCAACAAUUAUAGGAACAACACCAAAUCUCAUGCUCAUUAUGGGACCAUAUCUUUUAGCUAUUUUAUGAAGGUCUUGGUGGACAUUUUUGCCAAUCAUAUGGAGAUUUCCUAUAAUUGGAAGCCCUUUUGGGCCAGGGUGGAGUUUUUUCUUCUUUUUCAUGAAUUUAUUGUGUAGUUCUUGAAGAAUGUAUAGCACUGCAAGUAGUGCAAGAACUUGUAGGAAUAUUGAAGCCAUAGAUAUGGAAACUAUUGUGUGUGUUUUUGCUUCCAACACACAAUAAUUAUAAAGACGUCAGGAGUGGUGGCAGUGAAAUAUGGCCUCGAGUUCAAAAUAUCAACCAAAUUAAUGUUGUGGUCCAUCUUAUUUUUUAGCAAAAUUGACCAAUUGUGAAUAGUUUAUAGACGCAUUUACCUCUUUUCUUGCUCCUUCCGUUUCAUUUUGUUUUUGUUUGGGCACUUUACUAAACAAAAAGGAUAGAGGAAGAAAAAACAUGAAGGAAAAAAAUAAAAGAUCAUUCGGUGUAUUAAAAUUUUUAAUAUGCAUGGGAUUUGGAGAAUGAUCCGACCAUAAAAAUUUAUUGUACACAACUUUACCUUGCAUUUCUGUCAAAAAUUGUUUUUAAGAGUUAAACCCGUGAAUUCCUGAUCACGUGACAGCAACUUUACCAAUUACUCCAAGACUUUCUUUAAAAAAAUUAAGAAAAAGGAGAGAUAUUUCUUUUUAGAAAAGAAGAUAAUAAUAAAAGGAAUGAAUGGUGAAAGAAAAGAUUGGACAACGUGUUGGUUGAAGCUUAAUUGGUAUGUGGGGAAAAGUUUUUUUUACUUUCUCAUUUGCUAUUCGAUAUCUCCUUUGUGAAUCCUUCAUUAAGUUGUGCUAUUACAUUAUCUUUAUAAAAAUUAUGGGCACUUUGUUACAUUUCAAAUCACAUCUUUCUCAAAUGAGAUGUAUCAUAGACCUCAACUAUACACAUUCUGGGCUAGUUUCAUGAAUAGCUAUUAUUAUCUUAGCAUGAUUCGAUGAAGUAUCUACCAGACUGCUUUGUUUAUCUCCACGAUAUGACAGUAUCCCCACAUGUAAACACAUAGGUUAUUUGAGAUCAAGCUUUAUACAGGUCAGAUAAGUACCCAAUAUCAGCAUAACCAACAAGAUCGAGACUGCAAGUUUUAGAAUAAAAUAAGAUUAUGUGUUUAUCUUAUUUCGGUGUCUCCUAAUAGGAGCAAAACUAUAUCUUGCUAAAAUUUUAACUGAAAAGGUAUAUCAUGCCUUGUAGUAAUUGCAAGAUACAUCAGUACACUAAUUGGACUAAGAUAUGGUACUUCAGGACCAAUCCAAUUCGGUAUGUUUCGCAUUUCAGCAAAUAAUCUUAUUGUUUUUGAAAACUCUUCAAGAGUUCCAAUGAUAUUCAAAUCAUCAAAUUAUCUCUUAUAUGCUUCAGACAUUUUGAAUUCUUUAGGGAUUUUCAUAUGGAUUUUUGUCAAGUAACAAUAUCCAACUUGUCAAGUGUGACAUCUUCAAGUGUCUGGAAUGCAAAUCAAAUAAGUUUUAUGCUUACCAAAAUGCAUUCUUUCAGGUCACUUAAUGAAUGUUUCUUCGUCAAUAUGCUUAAAUAAACGUAGAAUUCAGAUUCUCAUAACCUCUUACAAUAUUGUAUCAAAGACAUCAUCGAUGAUAUAUCAUUUUAUAUCGGUUUAUAUUGUGACAUAAUAUUUUGUGAUCUUAUCACUUCAUUAUUUUCAGGUACCUGAACCUCUCAUAAGGUUUCAUGAAGUGUUAUGUCGUAGGCUCUUCAAGAGCACAUUGUCUUCUUAUUAUGAUUACUUGUUCCUUAUUUUUCAAGGAUCAUUUUAUUUGAAACCGAUUGGUCUACCACGCUUCACGCAUGCAUAGACUUUAUCCUUCAUGGACACAAAAUAGGAGCACUUGUGGCUUUAAUAUGAGAUACUUUUGACAUUUGACUUAAAUUAUCUUUUGAAUGAGGAUCGGAUGAUAAUUCCUAACAUAUUUCAUAGCCACUUAUAAUCUCCUCCUUAUGUUAGGAAAACUAACAUACAUCCUCUAUUUUUUUGAGGAAUCCAUCUUUGUGCAUCAAGAUAUAUUCAUUAAUCGUAUACUGCACAUCAAAACUAUUAUAUGAAAUAGCUGGUUCCUUACCUUGAACCAAUUGAGAGGGAAGAAAUAAUCAUAAUUUAUUGGUCUAAUGCAUACAAGUGCUAUUGUAUGCAACACAUCAUAUUUUAGACCAACACAUGAAGAUUUGUUCUCAUUAGCAAUGGUUUAACUAUUUCUCAAAAGCAUUCAAUGCCAAACCAUCAUCAUCAAGUUGAAUUAUGCAUCUUUUCAAGAUAUCACAUGAUAGGUGAACGGGCUCAUAUUCACCUUUUAUACUUUUCAGAUUUCAAGGGAUCCAAUCUCAAUAUUAGUUGGUCCAACCAACUUAUCAUGAGAACAAACGACAUUAAAAGUAAUGAAGAAUUUUGUAAUUCUUCAAUAUAUGUUAAAUACUCAGUAUGCACAUCUUUGAGAUGUCCCAAUCGUUCAUAUCAAUUUGAUGAACUUUUAUUCUAGCAAACUCUAAGUUUACCAUGACAUUUAUCUUUUACUUUAGUAAAUUCCAAAUUUACUAUUACAUGAAUAAAUUUUAAAUUUACUACUUUAGAAGUAGAUUUCAAAAUAACUCUUAUUAGUUAUUCUGCCUCUUUCGGAGGUGAGUUGUGAUACCAUCACAAUCAAGUGCACGUUUGCAUUAAUAAGCUUCUCAUUCCCUAGGAAUGGAAUAUAAUCAUGCCUUAAGCCUAUCAAAUUCUGAUAGCUUAGAACCUCUUUCAAGAUCGAGGCAUGCAAGCAUGUGAAAAUAUUAUUAUUGUCUUUUUUUCACGUUUAUGUGCAUUCAUUCAACCACUUGUCUUUUUUCCGACAAGUUAUGUACUGCUACCACAUUCACUUCAGGAAUGGAGUAUAUUCAAUGGGACAUGUUUUAUGACUUUUCAUGAAAUACAUAUUAUUUUGCCUUAACUAUCAUAAUAUCAUCAAUAUGGUACAUUGAGAUUCAAACUCAAUGUCUUAUUCAAAUAAAGACGUCUUAGGUAUAAAUUGAUGGGACUUGAACCCAAAAUUUUAUCAUCUUGAUACAUCGAGACUCUAACCCAAUGUCGAUGAAAUUAAUUCACCGCCUUAUUCUAAAUGACAAAAUAUGUUAACUUGUACCACAAAAUUCACCAAUAAACCAAAUUAAUAACAAAUCUAUUUUCAAUAUUUUUAUACAGUAACAAAGCAUAUCCAGUGAUGGGUUGGUAGGGAAUCUGCAAUUCAUUGACAUGAUUAAACCAUAAAUCAUGAGGAGGAUGAAUCGAGCGUAUAACAAAAAGGUCCGUCCCAAGAAUUUUAAAGUUGGUCAGUUGGUAUUGAAACGUAUCCUUCCUCACCAGGUUGAAGCGAAAGGCAAGUUCUCCCCUAACUGGCAAGGUUCCUUCGUUAUGAAGAAAGUGUUGCCCAAUGGAGCCUUAUAUUUGACAGUUAUUGAAGGCAAAAUGGCAGAAAUGGCUAUCAAUACUGAUGCGGUCAAAAGAUAUUAUGUAUGAUAUUUUAUCCUUUGUUGAUUUUAUUNNNNNNNNNNNNNNNNNNNNNNNNNNNNNNNNNNNNNNNNNNNNNNNNNNAUCCAAACAUUGUGUCAUCCUUUGUUUACCCGUUUGAGCUUCGUUUUAUUUUUUUCUUUCAUAUCCCUCUUUUGGAAUCAAAAUAGAGUCAAAGAUAAUGUCAAGAAAAUAAGAAUAAAAGAAAGAGUUCAAAAAAAAAAUCAAAACAAAGAACAAGCUUAUGGAACUACGUGCGAUCUGAUUCUCCUCUCUCGGGAGUAAGAUACGUAGGCAGCCCAAUUUCGGGCUCGGUCCAACCAAAUAAAGAUUUUAGAGUCACCCAGUCAACAAAAACUGGGGCAUGGGUUAAUAUGUUGUUUGAGUCGAUUCCAAAAGUUGUAAGUCCCACCCCCACUUCAAGUAUCGUUUGAACCUCUUGCCAUCCUUUUCUAACCUUAUCCAAAAGCUAAGCUACAACCAAAGAAAGUCCUUCAGAUCACUUUUUGAUAAUGUUAAGGCUAAGCAUGCAAUGGAUAUGUUGAUAUAUUAUGAGGUACCACUUGUCUCCCUCAGCAUAAGAAAUCAGGNNNNNNNNNNNNNNNNNNNNNNNNNNNNNNNNNNNNNNNNNNNNNNNNNNNNNNNNNNNNNNNNNNNNNNNNNNNNNNNNNNNNNNNNNNNNNNNNNNNNNNNNNNNNNNNNNNNNNNNNNNNNNNNNNNNNNNNNNNNNNNNNNNNNNNNNNNNNNNNNNNNNNNNNNNNNNNNNNNNNNNNNNNNNNNNNNNNNNNNNNNNNNNNNNNNNNNNNNNNNNNNNAAAGUGAAAAGUGAAAAGAAAGAGAUUUGUUUGCGAAAGUCUUUUAAGAUGUCGUCAAUUGAAUGUGAUGUAUGAGUCCAAUGGAUUUGAAGAAGCGGCUCAGCGGCAAAGGCACGAACUCAACAACAAAUGGGGAGUUUGGAUAGAAAGAUCAGGCAGCUUAAUCCAAAAUGCAUAUCAUACUCAUUGGAGUUGUUUGUCGUAUUCAGAUAAAUUUUCUUUUUGAAUAUGGGACAUUGCCCUUUUCUUUCAUUUACAUAUUCAUUCUUUUUGUCUUUUUAUGUCAUUUAUCAAAUAAAAGUCACCAUCAUUUCUUUAUAUUUAAGUCUAGUCUGUGUCAAAACAAGAGAGAAAGGAUUUCAAAUUUACUACUAGUUUUUCCAAUUAUAUGAGGAAAAGCCAAGGACCAGCACAUGAAAGAAAUAUGAUCGUAAUUCAACACGAAGCAAAGGAAUUCUAUCAACCGACAGGCUGUUGGACUCGUGGAAGCAUUCAGAUUUGGGAAAAGAGUGUACCUCAGAGACAUGGUAAAAUGAAAACCCUUUGUUCGAGUCAGAACUCAUUUCCCUCAAUCUGAAUCCGGGUCAAUGAUGUGGCAAGAUAGGGCAAGUGUCAACGAUUUGGAACAAAGAUGAAAGGAACGAGUGCUGGGGCAGAUACCUGAGAAGCCAAGAGCUGCAAGCCACCACUAAGUUUUUAACUGACAAAUUUUCUUUGUUUAAAUAGGGGCAAAUUCGCUUCACUUAAUUCAGCUACCAUUGGAAAUGCACAUCCGUGGGAUUUUACUUUCUGCUAAGGACCCUCCUGAAAAAUGAGAAUUUUACUUUUUGUUCAGCAUCCUCCUGAAAAAUGGAACUUUACUUUCAGUUCAGGACCCUCCUGAAAAAUGGGAAUUUUACUUUCAGUUCAGGACUCUCCAGAAAAAUGGGAAUUUUACUUUAUGUUCAGGACCCUCCUGAAAAAUGAGAUUUUACCUUAUGUUUAGGACCCUCCUGAAAAAUGGGGUUCUAUUUUAUGCUCAGGACCCUCCUGAAAAAUGGGACUUUACUUUCAAUUCAGGACCCUCCUGAAAAAUGAGAUUUUACUUUUUGUUCAGGACCCUCCUGAAAAAUGAGACUUUACUUUCUGUAUGGGCAUUUACUUUCUGUUCAGGACCCUCCUGAAAAAUGAGAUUUUACUUUCUGCUCAGGACCCUCCUGAAAAUGGGAUUUUACUUUCUGUUCAGGACCCUCCUGAAAAAUGGGAUUUUACGUUCUGCUCAGGACCCUCCUGAAAAUGGGAUUUUACUUUCUGUUCAGGACCCUCCUGAAAAAUGGGAUUUUACCGUUUAUUCAGGACCCUCCUGAAAAAUGGGAUUCCACUUUCUGUUUAGGUCCCUCCUGAAAAAUGGGACUCUACUUUCUGUUCAGGAUCCUCCUGAAAAAUAGGAUUUUACUUUAUGUUCAGGACCCUCCUGAAAAAUGGGAUUUUACUUUCUGUUCAGGACCCUCCUAAAAAAUGGGACUUUACCUUCUAUUCAGGACCCUCCUGAAAAAUGGGAUUNNNNNNNNNNNNNNNNNNNNNNNNNNNNNNNNNNNNNNNNNNNNNNNNNNNNNNNNNNNNNNNNNNNNNNNNNNNNNNNNNNNNNNNNNNNNNNNNNNNNNNNNNNNNNNNNNNNNNNNNNNNNNNNNNNNNNNNNNNNNNNNNNNNNNNNNNNNNNNNNNNNNNNNNNNNNNNNNNNNNNNNNNNNNNNNNNNNNNNNNNNNNNNNNNNNNNNNNNNNNNNNNNNNNNNNNNNNNNNNNNNNNNNNNNNNNNNNNNNNNNNNNNNNNNNNNNNNNNNNNNNNNNNNNNNNNNNNNNNNNNNNNNNNNNNNNNNNNNNNNNNNNNNNNNNNNNNNNNNNNNNNNNNNNNNNNNNNNNNNNNNNNNNNNNNNNNNNNNNNNNNNNNNNNNNNNNNCCCGCCUGAAGAAUAGGGUGAUGAAACUGGAGUCAAGAACCAACAAAAGCUGUAUGGAUAGGAUCAUGACACGUGGCACGCUGUUAGUUAGGAGGGCCUAUAUGUACCAAAUCAUUAACGGCAGGGGUAUAUUUGUACCCAAAGUAUGGCGGAGGAUAUAUAUGUACCAUUUAUCAAAGUUCAGGGGUAUAUUUGUACCUUUUUCGUAUAAAAAUGGGUAAAUGGCUAGGAUCGUGACACGUGGCACGUCGUUAGUUAGGAGGGUAUAUUUGUACUAAAUCAUUAAUGGCAGGGAUAUAUUUGUACUGAAAGUAUGACGAAGGGUAUAUAUGUACCAUUUAUCAAAGUUCAGGGUAUAUAUGUACCUUUUCCGUAUUCCAUAUUGUUGUCCUAUAAAUAGAGGCAUUAUGAGUUCUUUCUCCUCUAUCAUCAAAAUUAAGAUUAUUUCUUUCAUUGUAUAUUGCUUAGAAUUUUCAUUGUUUGGACUUCCACAUAUUUUUUAUCAAAAAUUAAAUAAAAAUCAUUUGCUACCUUCUAAAAUAUCACAUAAUUGAGAUUGUGACAACACAUCGGAGGAAAGAAGGGUUAAAGAGAACUGAGUGAUGAUGCAAUUUCAAGCAGAUGUGAAAGUGGUGAAGAUUGAAGAAGAGAUGUUGGACAUGACCGAUACAUUAGCAUAUUUGGUCGUUGUCAUUCUUUAUGGUGUUUAGCUUCUGUAGACACGUAAUUUUGUCCCUCCGAAAGAUAUUUUUUGCCUAUUUACCUUAUUCUACCGUGUAUCCUUAUCCGUAUGAUAAUCCCUCUGCAAAAAGACAAAAAUAACAAACCAACAACCUACCCUAUCAAAUGGCAACACCUCACCACCCCUCCAUUUCUUGUCCACAAAGGCAAAAAGGAUAAACAUACAUUAAAAAGGGGGUCCCACGAAGGAACCUUUCAGGAAGGUGCCAAGAACCCUUUUGUUUUUAUUUUUUUACAUAUACAGAUUCACACCUCAUAUACAGAUAUAUACAAACCCACAUCAUCAUCUCCAUUUUCUCUUCUACACAAUACACCAUUAACUUCACCAUUAACGGACACCUUCCUCACCAUUCCAACAGCUCACGUUUUUUUUCUGAGAACACAAAACACAUACAUAGAGAAUAUACAGAGAAGGGAUCAUAAAACAGAGGGAUUCCAUUUUUCUUUCUCCUUUUUCUCACCCACAAUAACUUUGACACCAUCACAGGCAUACAAAUUCGCCAAUAGACACACAUACGUCUUCUUCCAAUUCUUUGGUUCUUCCAGAAACGCACGCAAGAACCAAAAACCAUACCCAUACUUCACUGAAUACGCACAUAACACAGUUUCUUCUUCGCACACGAUUAACGCACAAAUCACAAACACCACACAUAGUGAAGGGCGAAUGAUAGAGAGACAAUAGUGAGUAGGAGAGGGUUCUGAACAGUGAGAGAUAUGAGAGAUAGAGAGGAAGACGAACAAGGGUCGAAUCGGUAAAGCUAAACAGAAAUCGAUAGGAAUCUGGUGGGUUUGAGUUGGCCGGCGAUCUCUUCGCCAGAGUUGAAUGUUUCUGAUCUUUUUCAGGCGAUUCCGUUUAAAAAACAUUAUAAUUCGCCGAAAAUCCAAUCCUUUUCCGACUAUUCGUGCUACUGUCUGCAUUCACGGAGUUCCAGCAACUAGAUUUUUUUCAGGUUUUCUCAUAUUUUUGGGCUCGAAUAUUCACACGCAUUUUUGGACUUCUGUUAGAGUCAGGUUUUGGGGGUCAUCGUGGUUCGAACUGGUUUUAUUCGAUUCGGGAGUUUGAGUUCGAGGUCUGUCAAUCGUGGUUCAUUGGUCUCGGGUCUUCUGUUAGUUCAAGUUGGUCGAAUAAAAGCCCUAAUUUAAGGUCAUCUCCUCAUCUUAUUCUUAUUCUUAGUUCAUUUUUAUUAUGAUGAAUGUCGAAUAUUAUUGAUUGUGGAUUGCUGAAAUAUUAUUGUAAAUUGAUAGUUGAAGUAUGUGUUAAUCAUGUGAUUGAGUAUGAAAUUGGGGGUGGGAGUUGCAAGGUUGAUAAGAUGAAUUUGGAUUACCUUUGAGUUUAUUGUUGUUAUGUUUCGUUCGGAAUAAAUAUCAAGUUAUAAAUCCGAUAGCAUCAUGUUUAGGCCGACAAUGGAUAGGCAAAAGUAGGUUGGGUAGGCAAAGUUUAGGAUCUGUGAUUGUUGAAAUGAUGAAAUGUUUGUGGAGUGGUUUCAAUUUAUGCAUUGGGAUCUAUUGUAUUCAUUGGGUCGGGGAAUGCCCCGAGGGAUUUGUAUUAAUUCACCGGGGAAUGCCCCGACGUAUUAUGUAUUCGGAGGACGUCCGUGAUGAAGGUCCGAAGCAUCGGGUAAGGCAUUGGAUCGUAGUUUAGGAUCAGUGUAGGUUAGCAUAGGUUUAUUUUUCAGUACCUUUUUUUUCAUUUUGGGUUGUAAUAAUUGGACUGGACAUUAUUAUUUUGGUUUUUGGAUUGUUGUUUGAUGUUUGUUUAUGUUCUUUGUGUGGUUUAUACAUUUGUGGUGUCUAAUUAGCCGAUACUUUCCACCAAGUGACCGUGGUCGAACCAUGGGACCGAGGGGGGCGUAACACCUUUCCCUCGGUCAACAGAAUUCCUUAGUCGGAAUCUCUGUUCGCGGAUCAGUUUUACAGAGUCAAAAUCCUUUUGAAAAGGGUUUUCCAAAGGUGACUUGGCACACCGGAUUAUGCCAAGUGGCGACUCUGAGUUUUGAAUAUAAAUAAUUCUUUUCGAAACAAAUUUUUAUUUUUUGUCACUUUGAUAGUAAAAAACCCUUUCAAACUGUAAAAUCGAAUCCAUUUGGAGUACGAAAAAGGGGUGUGACAACUUCCAGCUUGAAUAUUGUAGAUUUCUUCAUAGUUUUUGGUGUCCUAUUGCUUUUCAUGUUGUGAUCUUCCUAUUCACUUUCUAUUGGUGUCUAAUUCAUUUAUUUUGAGUUGCGGAAUUUGUUUAUGACCACAAUGACAUCAUAUUGUAAAUAUAUGUCUUACAAUCUAAAUGAAGGAUUUAUAUCAGACAAUGUAUGAGAAAUCUUUCCAUUACAUUAUUUUUAGUAUUAUAGAAUUGCUUUUUAAUUAUUGAAGUGCUUCUAAGCCAAAAAAACUUUUAAACACUUUCACAAUGCAAGUGUGGGUAUAUAAAUAUCAGCUUAAAUAUUUAUUUAUUCGUCAAUUUCAACAAUACGUAAAAUUAAUAUGGAGAUGAGAAUUCUGAAUCUCAUCACAAUAUGACUUGAGUAAAUAUAUAAAGCAUUAUCUAUAAUCUUAAAUCUAAAUCGAUUAGUCAUAUCGAGGAAUUAAAAUUUCUCAGUCACUUAAAAAUGAAUAAAAGAAAAUACAUUUAUUUUCAAAUCUCUUAAUUAUGUGUAAAUAUAUGAUGUACAAAAAUAGUAUCGCUUACUCAGUCACUUAAAAAUGAAUAAAAGAAAAUACAUUUAUUUCCAAAUCUCUUAAUUAUGUAUAAAUAUAUGAUGUACAAAAAUAAUAUCGCUUACAAACAAUAAAAAAAAUAAAAAUAUAAUGAGUCUAAGUUUAUAGUCUUAACUCAAAAUUAAUGCACGUUGCAUCAUGAAUAAUUAUUUAAGUGCUUUUAAAAUCUAAUUAAUGUAAAAGAAACAUUUUAACAUGAAAUAAAUGAUUAAAAAAUAAAGAAAAAAAUUUUAAAAAAAAAUUAAAAUUUAAAUACAAAUCCUAACUUAAGAGAUUUUCCCUAAUAACUAAAUAUUUUCGUACACAAAUCCUAACAUAAGAGGUUUUCGCUAAUAACUAAAUAUUUUCAUAUGUGUAUUGAAGCCUUUCAAAUAUUAUUUUUGUAAUUCCAUUAAUUCCCUUCUCUAUCUGUCCACUUUUUGUGAAUUUAAUAUACAUAGAAUGUGGUAUUCAUUUGAAAAUUUUAAUAUAAUCUUUAAUAUAUAUGUGUGUGUUUUAUUUGGUAUACUUUAGCUUGACUAUUUAUUUAUUUUUCUUUUUAGUUAGUUUCUGUAUUUUUUCUUUCAUAGUUUAGUUUAUUCUAAUAUAAAAAAAUAUUAGUAAAACAAAUUGAUUACUAUCUAAUAAAUGAAGUUUAUGAAAAUGAACUUAGACUCGUUAUGAAGUUUCUGUAUUUUUUAAAAAUAUCUUCUUUUUUUCGUUUAUAAAAAUGAAGUUUCUCCAAAUUCUAUUUUUUUAAUAAAAAUACUUUAUAUUUUUAAUUUCGUCGACAUACAUAAUUAAGUUUUAUAUGUGCAUAUAAAAAUUUAUCUCCGUUCUUAUCUAAAUUUAUAUAAAAAAAAAAAUUGUUAAUAAGUACUUUUAUAACCACGCAAAGCGCGAAUUAUUUUACUAAUUAAUAUAUAUGUACAAACGUAAUUUGUGACCAAGGUGCUUAGCUUUCUAUAAUCUGAAGUCAUGUUUACUACCAAGAAAUUUACCGAGGAAGCAGAAGAAAGCUAUUAAGAAAUAAAUGUAUCGUUUUAUACUUGAAGAACAUGCAUAAAGAAAUAUUGAUCAAUUUUCUCUGAAUCAUUAUAAAGAAAAUGAAUUAAAUAUCUUAGAUUUAAAUAUUCAAAGAGUCUUUCGAAGUUCAAACUAGCUAACACCCUCCACCGUACGUGGCUUCACCACUCACUAAAAUAGUUAGAAAUUCAUAUGUUCUUUUACGGAAAUGAGUCAGACUUGCUUCUGGCCCAACCGAAGCGGCCAAUUAGUUUCUACCCCAAACUCAUAUAACAUAAGUCAUUCCUUCAUAGUGGAUUCCUUUAAAAAAAAAUUAAAAAUAAGUGGGAUUUAUGUUUUGAAUUUGAAACACUAAACAAGGAAAAUACACCACUAUGUCAAUACACCUUGUUACAUGAUUAUUGUGUAUAAAUAUUGCAUGACGUGUAAAGAUUGAACAACAAAGAUACUGUCAUUUGAAGAACACACACAAGACACAAGACAAUGUCCUCUAUUCCCCGAAGUUUAGCUCAUUUUAAUCCCAUCUAAUCGACUCAACCAUAGUCAUUUUUGGUUGGAUCUAGCUUAACUCAGCUUAAUUCAACCUAUUCAUUUGAUAUCCCUAAUAUAUUUUCCAACCGAUGAGUAGGAAUAGCCCUUAGGUGUUGAGCUCUAGCCAUCACUAAACCAAAUUUCUCAGUCAUGUCUAAAUCAUUUGGCUUCAUAUCAUUUGGUAGUUCCCAAUCAAAACAAUGAACCAAUUGCGCUAGCACCAGACGAAGGAUUGUGAGCCCUAAGUGCAAACCAGGGCAACUUCUUCUCCCAGAACCAAAUGGUAAAAGUUGAAAAUCACGUCCACGAAGAUCGAUAUUGCUACCAACAAACCUUUCUGGCAUGAAUUUCUCGGGUUCUGGCCAAAUUUCUGGAUCUCUUCCAAUUGCCCAAGUAUUUACUAGAAUUCUUGAACCUUUAGGUAUAUCAAAGCCAUCAAUUGUGCAAUCUUCAAUGGACUCAUGAGGAGCCAAUAAUGGUGCAAUAGGGUGAAGCCUAAAACCUUCUUUAAUGACCAUGUCUAAGUACACUAAUUUUUCCAAGUCUGAUUCUUCCACCACUCUAUUUA